UUUAUGGUAGUAUGUGAUAAGAUUUCUGAACUUCAAUUUUACCAUAGAGCACAAAAGAAUAUAAUAAGUUAUAUGUAUGCGAUCAGGUUCAUUUGUGAUUCUAAAAUAGGGACCUAAUUUAUUUCUCUUGCUCACUGUAAUUAACUAGAAACAUAUAUUGCUAAUAAUAGGAAUUUCUGUUGAAACUCAGCUCAAGCUUAAUAAACAUUGAGAUCAGUGAUGUUUUCUUUUAUUGUCGAGAGUGCGGAAGAAAUCUGAAUAAUCAAAUUUCAAGGUGUAUGAAACACUUCUUUUCAAUUUCAAAAGCAGUUGUGUUGGGUAUUUGAGAAUGGUGGCAGCACUACAUGAGGGUAUGACACUCUGGCAAUUGGUUUUACUCCCUUCUCUAUUUUGUAUUGUUGGAUAUAUUGACGUAAGUAUGAUACGUUAAUAAUGACUUAGAUCUAUUGGUAAGUUCUUGGUUGGCCUUUCCUUUCUCACUCCAUCUGUGUGUUGAUUUGAUAACUACUACAACAUGCAGGUAUAAUGUGUGGGCAAUUUUUUCCUUGGUUCUUCAGGCUGCAUUGCAAUAGUUGGGGAGGUGUUGGAGAGGAACGGGAAUUGUACAACUGCAGUCUCCUGUAAUCAUCCUCCCUAAACUUUGGUGUGUCAUUUUUGCAUUUGUUGUACUGAACUGAAGUUUUAAUAUUGUAGUCCUCGGGUUUUAAUUAA
This is a long non-coding RNA of Lolium rigidum, 711 nucleotides long. RefSeq lists it as uncharacterized. The record is from RefSeq and is a predicted model, not a curated record. NCBI's taxonomy places the organism in Eukaryota, Viridiplantae, Streptophyta, Magnoliopsida, Poales, Poaceae. The transcript is spliced from 2 exons.